AGCGGAGGAAAAGAAACUAACAAGGAUUCCCCUAGUAACGGCGAGUGAAGCGGGAAGAGCUCAAAUUUGUAAUCUGGCGUCUUCGACGUCCGAGUUGUAAUCUCGAGAAGUGUUUUCCGCGCCGGACCGCAUACAAGUCUGUUGGAAUACAGCGUCAUAGUGGUGAGAGCCCCGUAACUGAUGCGGAUGCCCGGUGCUUUGUGAUACACUUUCGAAGAGUCGAGUUGUUUGGGAAUGCAGCUCAAAUUGGGUGGUAAAUUCCAUCUAAAGCUAAAUAUUGGCGAGAGACCGAUAGCGAACAAGUACCGUGAGGGAAAGAUGAAAAGCACUUUGGAAAGAGAGUUAACAGUACGUGAAAUUGUUGGAAGGGAAACGAUUGAGGUCAGACUUGCUAUUCGGAAUUCAGCCGCAAGGUGUACUUUUCGAUUUGCAGGCCAGCAUCAGUUUUCGGGGGCGGAAAAGGGUAAGUUGAAGGUAGCAGUUUCGGCUGUGUUAUAGCUUCUUACUGGAUUCGUCUUUGGGGACUGAGGAACGCAGCACGCUUUUAGCGAGACCUUCGGGUCUUUCGUGCUUAGGAUGCUGGUGGAAUGGCCUUAAACGACCCGUCUU
RNAcentral lists this ribosomal RNA (609 nucleotides) under Camptobasidiaceae sp. RNAcentral's name for it is "partial large subunit ribosomal RNA". It matches the Rfam family "Eukaryotic large subunit ribosomal RNA", at positions 49 to 655 of the family's 3401-position model. Lineage: Eukaryota; Fungi; Basidiomycota; Microbotryomycetes; Kriegeriales; Camptobasidiaceae. The record is from RNAcentral.